CAUUGCUGCACUGUUGCAACAUUGCCAUAAUAGUGCAGCAACAUUAUAACAAUGUUGCGUGCAACAUUAUUGCAAUGUUGCUGCACCAUUAUGGCAAUGUUGCAACAGUGCAGCAAUG
Molecule: microRNA precursor, 118 nt
Filed under: Strigamia maritima
Lineage: Eukaryota; Metazoa; Arthropoda; Chilopoda; Geophilomorpha; Linotaeniidae
Description: microRNA mir-33
Source: RNAcentral